Molecule: ribosomal RNA, 352 nt
Filed under: uncultured bacterium
Lineage: Bacteria
Description: partial 16S ribosomal RNA
Rfam family: Bacterial small subunit ribosomal RNA
Source: RNAcentral
CCUACGGGUGGCAGCAGUGGGGAAUAUUGCGCAAUGGGCGAAAGCCUGACGCAGCGACGCCGCGUGAGGGAUGAAGGUCUUCUGAUCGUAAACCUCUGUCAGCAGGGAAGAACGGUCACGGGGCUAAGCAGCAGUGAAUUGACGGUACCGGCAAAGGAAGCACCGGCUAACUCCGUGCCAGCAGCCGCGGUAAUACGGAGGGUGCGAGCGUUAAGCGGAAUUACUGGGCGUAAAGCGCUCGUAGGCGGUAUGUCAAGUCAAGGGGGAAAUCCCCGCGCUCCACGUGGGAACUGCCUUUUAAACUGGCAACCUGGUGUGUGUGCGAGGCUAGUGGACUUCCCGGUGUAGUCGU